UCUCUGGUGGUCCAGUGGUUAAGACUCUGUGCUUUCAAUGCAGGAGGCAUGGGUUUAACCCCUGGUCAGGGAA
This is a non-coding RNA of Bos taurus (domestic cattle), 73 nucleotides long. NCBI's taxonomy places the organism in Eukaryota, Metazoa, Chordata, Mammalia, Artiodactyla, Bovidae. The record is from Rfam.